This 450-nucleotide ribosomal RNA is filed under the name uncultured bacterium. RNAcentral describes it as "bacterial SSU rRNA". It matches the Rfam family "Bacterial small subunit ribosomal RNA", at positions 28 to 479 of the family's 1533-position model. The record is from RNAcentral.
GACGAACGCUGGCGGCGUGCUUAACACAUGCAAGUCGAACGGGAUUUAGUAGACAGAAGCCUCGGUGGAAGAUUACUAAUGAGAGUGGCGAACGGGUGGGUAACGCGUGAGCAACCUGCCUAUGACAGUGGGAUAGCCUCGGGAAACCGGGAUUAAUACCGCAUAAAAUCGUAGAAACACAUGUUUCAACGGUCAAAGAUUUAUCGGUCAUAGAUGGGCUCGCGUCUGAUUAGCUAGUUGGUGAGAUAACAGCCCACCAAGGCGACGAUCAGUAGCCGGUCUGAGAGGAUGAACGGCCACAUUGGAACUGAGACACGGUCCAAACUCCUACGGGAGGCAGCAGUGGGGAAUAUUGCACAAUGGGGGAAACCCUGAUGCAGCGACGCCGCGUGAACGAAGAAGGUAUUCGUAUCGUAAAGUUCUGUCCUAUGGGAAGAUAAUGACAGUACC